Molecule: unclassified non-coding RNA, 2849 nt
Filed under: Hevea brasiliensis (rubber tree)
Lineage: Eukaryota; Viridiplantae; Streptophyta; Magnoliopsida; Malpighiales; Euphorbiaceae
Source: RNAcentral
UAGCUUUCCUCCAUACUACUCAAGCUGCUAGCACUCGAAAGUCUGCGUGUCAAACUUCCUGCAACAUUUUCUAUCCCAGAUUUCUGCUUCAUUAUUGGGCUCUGAUCAGGCACAUAAUUAGUAGAACGAGCGGCCCUUUCUUGAUCCAAACGAGCAGUUUUCUCCCUUUCCAACUCCUGCCGCAGGAGUUCCUGAUGAGUUAAUGCUUCUUGUAUUUCCUGCUUGUGUUUCCUUCUGAGUUCUUUAAUUUCCUCUUCAAGCUGAUUCACACGACCUUCGUUAGUCUCAGCUUCCUCCUUUAGAGCAAGAUAUUCUUGCCUAUUCUCUGCGGCCCGCUGUCUCUCUUUGUCAAGGGACCUUGUUAGCUGUGUCUGCUCAGCUCUAAGACAAGAUAUCUGAGCCUCAAGAACAUUGAUUCGGGAUAGGGUUUGAGAAAGGCGUUCAUUAAUAGAUCGCUCCUUUUCUUCUGAAGUUGCAGCUUUUGCCUCGGCUUCCUGAAGACGUGAAUUCAAGGUUCUCUCAACAGCAGCCCAAGCUUCAGCCUUUCUGGAGUUUGUUUCCUGCAUGGCUUCUAUCUGCCUGAGAAGAGGUCUGGUAGAUUCGGGAACUUGUGUUAUCAACUCCUCACAUCGACGUUCACUGGCUUGGUAUCUUUUCUGGAGAUCUUCAAUUUCUCUGCGGAGCAUAUCUUCUUUAAAAACUGCCUGCUGCUCCGUUCUGGUAAGUGUUUGCCUUAAUUCUUCAAGUGCCUGAACAAGCAUUGCUUCACGGUCUUCAGCCUCUCUGAGACGACCCUCUAGUUGAGUUCUAGCUUCAUUGUUAGCCCGUGCCUCAGAUAAAGCUUCUGCUUCUUUUGCAGCAUUUAAAGCAUUAGUAUAGUAUUCUUUUUGAGUUGCAAGUUCUGCUUGAUGUUUUUCGACUGUUUCAUGAAGCAAUUUUUCUGUUGCUGCCUUGUCCCUCUUUAUACUCUCUACUUUGUUCUCUUCAACCUCAAGCUUGGUAUGUAAUCCUUUCUUCUCUUCUUCAAGCUCUCUGAUCUGUGCCCUUAACUUUCUCAUCUGAGCUUCUUGGGCAGCUUGCUUUUUAGAAAGCUGCUCACCUUCAGCCAUUACUUGAGUAAUUAUCUCAUCCUUCUCUUUGAGAAGAGCUGCAGCAUCACUCUUCUUAUUAUGUUCCCUGCGAAGUGUAUCCCUUUCUUUGGUGAGAGCAUAAACCUUCCUCUCAAGAGCAGAAACUUUUUGAUGGUACUCUUCUCGCAGAGAUUCAAUUGCUGCAUCACUGGACUUCCUUCUCAGAUCCUCAGUAACAGCCUUCAAUUGCUCGUUCUCAUUCAUCAACUUCGCUAUUUCAUCAGCUUUAGCCUGAGCUUGUCUAGCAGCUCCUUGUAAUGCAGUUUCCAUCAUUUUCAUUUCCUUUUUCAGCUUCUCCAGUUCAACCACUGAAUUGGUAACAUCUGAAGAGUUGCUUCCGGAGCUCAACCGUUCUUUCACACCAGUCUCCUGAUCAUUUCCUCGCUGGGUAGCCUCCACAGGUAUACUAACCAACUCAUUUUCAGGCAUAACUGUAUCAGAUAGCUUCUUCAGACCUUCAUCAGUGUGCUGGUCACCAAGAAAGCUCCUGUUAGAAUGCUCUUCAAGACUUUCACCUUCGCUGGCAGUUACAGAAUCUGAAACAGAAGGUCUUCCACUAUCUGCUCGGUCACUUGAUGCAUCCCGUGAUUCAGCUGAAGGAGAUUCCAUGGUGACUUCUUUCUUCUGUUCCCUGUCUGUAGGGUAAUUUGAUGCAUCCUCUAAUUGAACAGGAGGAGAUUCCUCAGUGACUUCUUUCUUCUGUUCCCCAUCAUUACCAGUAUUUUCCUUUGAAUCAACAAGCAGCGGGAUACCAACUUCAGUUUGAGAUAAAGCAUUUGAUGAUUGGGAAACAACCAACUCGAGGUUUUCAGAUGAUUCUCGCUCUGGAAUAUUCUUUUGGAGGAUUCCUGGAGAUGUUUCCUGAUCAAGCUCAUUGACCUUCGAUGCUUCUGCCAGUGAAUUAAUUUCAGCUUUUCUUUCAUCUGGCCCAGUAACACUUCUUUGUUCCUCCUGAUCAAAACUUGGUUCCGUAGAAGAAUUCAGUUGGACAUCAACAGCUCUUGCCUCCUCAGUUUCUUCUUCAGCAGAUAUCAUUUGAUUUGGUUUCGCAUCAACAUCCUUUGCUUCUUCAAUAGGUUCUUGAACCGAUUUAGUUUCUUCAAUAAUGUCCGUUGUUUCUUCUUUUGGUUCUUUAGGAACCACACCACGUCGAGUUGUAGUCUCAGCUGAAUCUUCAACUACUUCCCCUGUGGGCAAGGUGGGCUUUGACGACUCAGCUUUCUCUACAGAUUCUUCAGCAGUCCCCUCACUUUUUUGCCCCAUAAAAGACAUGACAGGAUCAAAUAAGGCCCUCCUAUCCGUAGUUGAAGGCCAUAACCCUGAAGCUUCAUUGUUACUAGACUCAGAUUUCUCCUCGAGACCAAGUGCAGUGUCGAAAUUUUUUUCAAUGUUUUUGACACUCUCACUGAGCUUAUUCACGGCACCGGCAAGAUCCAAGUUCGUCAAAUCAAGUUUCCCACCAAACCACGCCAUCUUUUUGACUCGAUCCAAAGCUCAAAUUACAUGGAAAGCUCCUUCAUCCUAUCAAAUGAAUCAUACAUUGUCAAAAUCCUAAGAAAUUCCAAUUUCAAUAAACAACAUCCAUAUAACAGCAAAAUUGUUUUUGUGUUCAAUCAGAUCCCAUCAUUCAAUAAUUUCCGAUUCAGAAAGUUACAAAGAAAAAAGAUAUUGAAAAUUGGAUUGAUUGGAAGUUUUUUAAUACCACACUUGGAACUUGGA